AUUGAACGCUGGCGGAAUGCUUUACACAUGCAAGUCGAACGGUAGCACAGAGAGCUUGCUCUCGGGUGACGAGUGGCGGACGGGUGAGUAAUGUCUGGGAAACUGCCCGAUGGAGGGGGAUAACUACUGGAAACGGUAGCUAAUACCGCAUAACGUCGCAAGACCAAAGUGGGGGACCUUCGGGCCUCACACCAUCGGAUGUGCCCAGAUGGGAUUAGCUAGUAGGUGGGGUAAUGGCUCACCUAGGCGACGAUCCCUAGCUGGUCUGAGAGGAUGACCAGCCACACUGGAACUGAGACACGGUCCAGACUCCUACGGGAGGCAGCAGUGGGGAAUAUUGCACAAUGGGCGCAAGCCUGAUGCAGCCAUGCCGCGUGUAUGAAGAAGGCCUUCGGGUUGUAAAGUACUUUCAGCGGGGAGGAAGGCGGUGAAGUUAAUAGCUUCACCGAUUGACGUUACCCGCAGAAGAAGCACCGGCUAACUACGUGCCAGCCGCCGCCGUAA
Molecule: ribosomal RNA, 504 nt
Filed under: uncultured bacterium
Lineage: Bacteria
Description: partial 16S ribosomal RNA
Rfam family: Bacterial small subunit ribosomal RNA
Source: RNAcentral